GAUUCUUAAAAUAAGAUUUUUUUAAUAUGACUUAUUAUCAUAAAGAUAUAUUUACACACUUUACAGAAAUAGAAAAUAAAAACACAAAGCUACGCAUGAAAGGAAAAAAUAAAAUAAGUACUCCAAGAGCUAAAGCUUAUAUUUUAUAAAUUAGAAACCAAAAGUUCAAAUAUGUACACAGUAUUUCAACCAUUUCUGAUACACUUGUUUCGUCAUUUAUUUAUUUAAUUUUUGCCCAGUUCAACAUCAAAACAGAGACAGGGACUGUACAGUUGGCCUGGUGAGUAAUAUGAGCACAUACCUUCGACAGUAGUAAAGAGGUUCAGGUGUAAUACAUUGUCUUUUUAACUGCAGUUUGCUUGUGACCUAGUAAGUAACACUGUUGCAAUGGCAUUUCAGCCUAAGCACUCUGGAGCUCCCUCAACUACUCUGAAUGGUAUUGAUGGUGGACCCAGUUUGCCAUGUAGAUGGAGAACAUUGUCAUAAUCAAUGGGAGGAGGGGCCUUCUCUAUUCUGGGGUAUGAAUGUCUCAUUUGAGGCAGCGAGAUAAUGACAGAUCAUUUUCAUCUCCCGCGGGAGAUCAAAUCUAGUUAUCCUUUGGAUUGUCCCGCCUGUGGAAUUGUGGGACUGCAUCGGGAUUGAAUCUUAGCCACUUGAUCCUGCAGAUACCCCCACUCUGUGUGUGUGAUGUAUGACGGGUUUAGAUGCAUAAGGUAAAACCAUGGAAUGUAUUGCAUGCUAGCUAAGUCGUUUUUCUUGGUGGGUCGUGUUACGUUUGGAAAGGGGUUUUACUGUAGCUUGUCAAGAGCUGAGAGAAAGUGACAGCGACAUCAAAGAUUAAAAACCUAGUGGUUUUGAUUGACUCUUUGUGGGGACUGCCUACAGCUAGAGCGAGACAGUGACCCAUGGCUAAGCUGCAGUUUUCAUCACUAGCUUGCUAGCUGCUAGACUCCUUUCUCCACCAGUCAUACACAUUUAUCCCUCCACUGCUUCCUACUCCAUACACACUCCCAGCCAAGUGCACAUUUCUAAAAGUGGAAAAUGAGCUGAGCACAAACAUGGUACGUUCUUCUCGGAACAAACAAACCAGUGAAAACAUGCUAACAUGUGCAUAGGAACAUUACUCAGGCCUUGUGAUGUAACAAAUAAGAGGAUUGUGAGGAAACAAGAUGAGAGGAUGGCAAUCGUUUCUCUUGCGUAAGCUUUGCUGGAAAAGACCAUUAAGGAAAAUGUAUUGGUUUCCCAUUUCAGUUUGAGCCUGGAUGUGCUUGUCCUUCUACACCACAAGCUCCAUUAACCUAAAAUGGAGGCCUGUAGGGUAUGUUUUAUAGGAGAAGAAUGCGUGAAGCUCUCACCUGUCUACAACAUAUUGUACUGCAGACAAAAUGUUCUAUUAUUGUUUACGACCACAAAAUAUACAGCUGUAUUCCACACUGUAUUUAAAAAAAGUACGCUUUGGACAACCAGCUAGACAAGAAUCAGACGACCAAAAAUUGUCACAAAACACUGGAGAGCCAUUUUAUACCAAGGGUUUUCAGUUUUUUUUUAACCAGCAGCAUAAUGGAAUUGCAAAAGUGCAGCCUGGCUUGCCCGUACAAAGAAGUCUUGGAGCAAAGCCAGGUGAUUGAUAUUUGGCUUUGGAAGUUUGGAUCCAACUGAUAACCAACUAGGGUGGACUAGCAGUGAUUUGGGGAGACCAAGACUCAAAUUGUACUCUAUACAUAAACAUUGGGUCUGCAUUUGGAGGGGCGGCUCGGCUGGUGCAGAUGGUGGGGAUACAUUCAUGAAGAACAGUGCGGAUACAGACAUUGCUCUGCUUCCUUAACACUAGCUUCUCAGACUGGAAAAUAGUGAUUUUAAACCUAUUAUUUUGAGCCAAUCCAGCCCAACUCUUGUGGCUUAGAAUGCCCAUCGUUGCAAGGCCCCCCAAGGCAAAGGAAGAGCAUAGAAAUCAGAACUUGGGGGUGGGCGCUCGAAGCAGUGCCUGCAAAACAAAAACAGAAGACGACAAAUGUGCCAUAAGUCCAGUGAAAUUUUCAUGAACAUUUAUGUGAGUCAUGCAGCCAUUUUAUUUCCCCCUUACAAUAGAAAGCCCUCUAGGAUUCAGUGUUGUUCUUGAG
RNAcentral lists this long non-coding RNA (2120 nucleotides) under Salmo salar (Atlantic salmon). Its description in RNAcentral is "lncRNA (ENSSSAG00000100929.1)". Lineage: Eukaryota; Metazoa; Chordata; Actinopteri; Salmoniformes; Salmonidae. The record is from RNAcentral.